This 253-nucleotide ribosomal RNA is filed under the name uncultured bacterium. Its description in RNAcentral is "partial 16S ribosomal RNA". It matches the Rfam family "Bacterial small subunit ribosomal RNA", at positions 524 to 776 of the family's 1533-position model. The record is from RNAcentral.
UACGAAGGGGGCUAGCGUUGUUCGGAAUUACUGGGCGUAAAGCGCGCGCAGGCGGUCUUCCAAGUCAGUGGUGAAAGCCCGGAGCUCAACUCCGGAACUGCCAUUGAAACUGUUAGACUUGAGGAUGAGAGAGGUGAGUGGAAUUCCCAGUGUAGAGGUGAAAUUCGUAGAUAUUGCUCGGAAGGCCAACGGCGAAGGCAGGUUACUGGUACGCAACCGACGCUGAGGCACGAAAGCGUGGGGAGCAAACAGG